RNAcentral lists this ribosomal RNA (166 nucleotides) under Tricholomataceae sp. Its description in RNAcentral is "partial large subunit ribosomal RNA". It matches the Rfam family "Eukaryotic large subunit ribosomal RNA", at positions 99 to 261 of the family's 3401-position model. Lineage: Eukaryota; Fungi; Basidiomycota; Agaricomycetes; Agaricales; Tricholomataceae. The record is from RNAcentral.
CGGCAACAGCUCAAAUUUGAAAUCUGGCCUCUCGGGGUCCGAGUUGUAAUUUAGAGAAGUGUUAUCCGUGCUGGACCGUGUACAAGUCUCCUGGAAUGGAGCGUCAUAGAGGGUGAGAAUCCCGUCUUUGACACGGACUGCCAGUGCAUUGUGAUGCGCUCUCAAA